This 498-nucleotide ribosomal RNA is filed under the name uncultured bacterium. Its description in RNAcentral is "partial 16S ribosomal RNA". It matches the Rfam family "Bacterial small subunit ribosomal RNA", at positions 30 to 523 of the family's 1533-position model. The record is from RNAcentral.
AUUGAACGCUGGCGGCAUGCCUUACACAUGCAAGUCGAACGGUAACAGGUCUUCGGAUGCUGACGAGUGGCGAACGGGUGAGUAAUACAUCGGAACGUGCCUAGUAGUGGGGGAUAACUACUCGAAAGAGUGGCUAAUACCGCAUGAGAUCUACGGAUGAAAGCAGGGGAUCGCAAGACCUUGUGCUACUAGAGCGGCCGAUGGCAGAUUAGGUAGUUGGUGGGAUAAAAGCUUACCAAGCCGGCGAUCUGUAGCUGGUCUGAGAGGACGAUCAGGCACACUGGGACUGAGACACGGGCCGGACUCCUACGGGAGGCAGCAGUGGGGAAUUUUGGACAAUGGGCGCAAGCCUGAUCCAGCAAUGCCGCGUGCAGGAUGAAGGCCUUCGGGUUGUAAACUGCUUUUGUACGGAACGAAAAGCCCUGGGUUAAUACCCUGGGGUCAUGACGGUACCGUAAGAAUAAGCACCGGCUAACUACGUGCCAGCCGCCGCCGUAA